This 74-nucleotide transfer RNA is filed under the name Ixodes scapularis (black-legged tick). It matches the Rfam family "tRNA". From Rfam's summary of the family: Transfer RNA (tRNA) molecules are approximately 80 nucleotides in length. Their secondary structure includes four short double-helical elements and three loops (D, anti-codon, and T loops). The record is from Rfam by way of RNAcentral. Lineage: Eukaryota; Metazoa; Arthropoda; Arachnida; Ixodida; Ixodidae.
UCCUGGUUAGCUCAAUUGGUAGAGCGCUCCACCCUGUAGUGGAGAGGUCCCGGGUUCGAUACCCCGACCAGGCG